RNAcentral lists this ribosomal RNA (445 nucleotides) under uncultured bacterium. RNAcentral describes it as "partial 16S ribosomal RNA". It matches the Rfam family "Bacterial small subunit ribosomal RNA", at positions 354 to 796 of the family's 1533-position model. The record is from RNAcentral.
GUGAGGAAUAUUGGUCAAUGGGCGAGAGCCUGAACCAGCCAAGUCGCGUGAAGGAAGAAGGAUCUAUGGUUCGUAAACUUCUUUUGCAGGGGAAUAAAGUGCAGGACGUGUCCUGUUUUGUAUGUACCCUGAGAAUAAGGAUCGGCUAACUCCGUGCCAGCAGCCGCGGUAAUACGGAGGAUCCGAGCGUUAUCCGGAUUUAUUGGGUUUAAAGGGUGCGUAGGUGGUUUGAUAAGUCAGCGGUGAAAGUUUGCAGCUUAACUGUAAAAAUGCCGUUGAAACUGUCGGACUUGAGUGUAAAUGAGGUAGGCGGAAUGCGUGGUGUAGCGGUGAAAUGCAUAGAUAUCACGCAGAACUCCGAUAGCGAAGGCAGCUUACUAAGUUAUAACAGACACUGAAGCACGAAAGCGUGGGUAUCAAACAGGAUUAGAUACCCUGGUAGUCC